This 66-nucleotide transfer RNA is filed under the name Limnadia lenticularis. Its description in RNAcentral is "tRNA-Tyr". The record is from RNAcentral. Lineage: Eukaryota; Metazoa; Arthropoda; Branchiopoda; Diplostraca; Limnadiidae.
UAAUAUAGAAGAUAUGAUCUUGUAUUUAGAUUUACAGUCUAAAGCCUAAUUCUCGGCCACUAUAUU